UUCGCAAUGCCCGAAAGGGUGACGAAGCGACGCCGCGUGGGUGAGGAAGGCCCUCGGGUUGUAAAGCCCUGUCAGGAGUUAAGAAAUAUAAGUGCGCUAAUAUCGCAUUUAUUUGACGAAGGCUCCAAAGGAAGCCACGGCUAACUCUGUGCCAGCAGCCGCGGUAAUACAGAGGUGGCAAGCGUUGUUCGGAAUUAUUGGGCGUAAAGAGCACGUAGGUGGGUUUGUAAGUCAGACGUGAAAGCCUCCUGUUCAACGGGAGAAUUGCAUCUGAAACUGCAAGUCUUGAGUGUAGGAGGGGAGAAUGGAACUUCUGGUGGAGCGGUGAAAUGCGUAGAUAUCAGAAGGAACGCCGGCGGCGAAAGCGAUUCUCUGGCCUAUUACUGACACUCAGUGUGCGAAAGCUAGGGGAGCAAACGGGAUUAGAUACCCCGGUAGUCCUAGCCGUAAACGAUGGGCACUAAGUAGAGGGGUUUU
This 477-nucleotide ribosomal RNA is filed under the name Candidatus Scalindua brodae. RNAcentral describes it as "bacterial SSU rRNA". It matches the Rfam family "Bacterial small subunit ribosomal RNA", at positions 365 to 832 of the family's 1533-position model. RNAcentral also lists the same sequence under 1 other name. Lineage: Bacteria; Pseudomonadati; Planctomycetota; Candidatus Brocadiia; Candidatus Brocadiales; Candidatus Scalinduaceae. The record is from RNAcentral.